CUUGGUCAUUUAGAGGAAGUAAAAGUCGUAACAAGGUCUCCGUUGGUGAACCAGCGGAGGGAUCAUUACCGAGUUUACAACUCCCAAACCCCUGUGAACAUACCAAUUGUUGCCUCGGCGGAUCAGCCCGCUCCCGGUAAAACGGAACGGCCCGCCAGAGGACCCCUAAACUCUGUUUCUAUAUGUAACUUCUGAGUAAAACCAUAAAUAAAUCAAAACUUUCAACAACGGAUCUCUUGGUUCUGGCAUCGAUGAAGAACGCAGCAAAAUGCGAUAAGUAAUGUGAAUUGCAGAAUUCAGUGAAUCAUCGAAUCUUUGAACGCACAUUGCGCCCGCCAGUAUUCUGGCGGGCAUGCCUGUUCGAGCGUCAUUUCAACCCUCAGGCCCCCGGGCCUGGCGUUGGGGAUCGGCGGAAGCCCCCUGCGGGCACAACGCCGUCCCCCAAAUACAGUGGCGGUCCCGCCGCAGCUUCCAUUGCGUAGUAGCUAACACCUCGCAACUGGAGAGCGGCGCGGCCACGCCGUAAACCACCCAACUACUGAAUGUUGACCUCGAAUCAGGUAGGAAUACCCGCUGAACUUAAGCAUAUCAAUAAGCGGAGGA
Molecule: ribosomal RNA, 603 nt
Filed under: uncultured Ascomycota
Lineage: Eukaryota; Fungi; Ascomycota
Description: eukaryotic LSU rRNA
Rfam family: 5.8S ribosomal RNA (bases 217-370)
Source: RNAcentral